RNAcentral lists this ribosomal RNA (497 nucleotides) under uncultured bacterium. RNAcentral's name for it is "partial 16S ribosomal RNA". It matches the Rfam family "Bacterial small subunit ribosomal RNA", at positions 28 to 507 of the family's 1533-position model. The record is from RNAcentral.
GAUGAACGCUGGCGGCGUGCCUAAUACAUGCAAGUCGAGCGAACAGACGAGGAGCUUGCUCCUCUGACGUUAGCGGCGGACGGGUGAGUAACACGUGGAUAACCUACCUAUAAGACUGGGAUAACUUCGGGAAACCGGAGCUAAUACCGGAUAAUAUAUUGAACCGCAUGGUUCAAUAGUGAAAGACGGUUUUGCUGUCACUUAUAGAUGGAUCCGCGCCGCAUUAGCUAGUUGGUAAGGUAACGGAUUACCAAGGCAACGAUGCGUAGCCGACCUGAGAGGGUGAUAGGCCACACUGGAACUGAGACACGGUCCAGACUCCUACGGGAGGCAGCAGUAGGGAAUCUUCCGCAAUGGGCGAAAGCCUGACGGAGCAACGCCGCGUGAGUGAUGAAGGUCUUCGGAUCGUAAAACUCUGUUAUUAGGGAAGAACAAAUGUGUAAGUAACUAUGCACGUCUUGACGGUACCUAAUCAGAAAGCCACGGCUAACUACGUG